CAGCAGGGUUUAGACUACACUAUAGCUGUUUAGUACUAUCUUGUCGUUCUCCCUGCUCAAAGUAAAGUUCUUUCUUAUCUAUCCCUCUCUGCUAGUCUCUUGUAGCAGCCCAGGGACACUUCAUCUCAUAGAG
RNAcentral lists this small nucleolar RNA (133 nucleotides) under Echinops telfairi (small Madagascar hedgehog). RNAcentral's name for it is "Small nucleolar RNA SNORA63 (ENSETEG00000023463.1)". The record is from RNAcentral. Lineage: Eukaryota; Metazoa; Chordata; Mammalia; Afrosoricida; Tenrecidae.